This 254-nucleotide ribosomal RNA is filed under the name uncultured bacterium. RNAcentral describes it as "partial 16S ribosomal RNA". It matches the Rfam family "Bacterial small subunit ribosomal RNA", at positions 524 to 776 of the family's 1533-position model. The record is from RNAcentral.
UACAGAGGGGGCAAGCGUUGUUCGGAAUUACUGGGCGUAAAGGGCGCGUAGGCGGCCAACUAAGUCAGACGUGAAAUCCCUCGGCUUAACCGGGGAACUGCGUCUGAUACUGGAUGGCUUGAGUUUGGGAGAGGGAUGCGGAAUUCCAGGUGUAGCGGUGAAAUGCGUAGAUAUCUGGAGGAACACCGGUGGCGAAGGCGGCAUCCUGGACCAGCACUGACGCUGAGUGAGCGAAAGCCAGGGGAGCAAACGGG